GUUAGGAAUAUUGGACAAUGGGCGAAAGCCUGAUCCAGCCAUGCCGCGUGAACGAUGAAGGCCUUCGGGUUGUAAAGUUCUUUAGCCGAUGAUUAUAAUGACUGUAGUCGGAAAAUAAGCCCCGGCUAACUUCGUGCCAGCAGCCGCGGUAAUACGAAGGGGGCGAGCGUUAUUCGGAAUCACUGGGCGUAAAGCGUGCGGAGGCGGUUUUGUAAGUUAGGAGUGAAAGCCCAGGGCUCAACCUUGGAAUUGCUCUUAAAACUGCAAGGCUCGAAUCUCGGAGAGGAUAGCGGAAUUUCCAGUGUAGCAGUGAAAUGCGUAGAUAUUGGAAGGAACACCAGUGGCGUAAGCGGCUAUCUGGACGAGUAUUGACGCUGAGGCACGAAAGCGUGGGGAUCAAACAGGAUUAGAUACCCGAGUAGUCC
This 425-nucleotide ribosomal RNA is filed under the name uncultured bacterium. RNAcentral's name for it is "partial 16S ribosomal RNA". It matches the Rfam family "Bacterial small subunit ribosomal RNA", at positions 354 to 796 of the family's 1533-position model. The record is from RNAcentral.